UACAUAGGGGGCAAGCGUUAUCCGGAUUUACUGGGUGUAAAGGGAGCGUAGACGGUUAUGCAAGUCUGAAGUGAAAGCCCAAGGCUCAACCAUGGGACUGCUUUGGAAACUGUAAAACUGGAGUGCAGGAGAGGUAAGCGGAAUUCCUAGUGUAGCGGUGAAGUGCGUAGAUAUUAGGAGGAACACCAGUGGCGAAGGCGGCUUACUGGACUGUAACUGACGUUGAGGCUCGAAGGCGUGGGGAGCAAACAGG
Molecule: ribosomal RNA, 253 nt
Filed under: uncultured bacterium
Lineage: Bacteria
Description: partial 16S ribosomal RNA
Rfam family: Bacterial small subunit ribosomal RNA
Source: RNAcentral